GAUGAACGCUGGCGGCGUGCCUAAUACAUGCAAGUCGAGCGAACGGACGAGAAGCUUGCUUUUCUGAUGUUAGCGGCGGACGGGUGAGUAACACGUGGAUAACCUACCUAUAAGACUGGGAUAACUUCGUGAAACCGGAGCUAAUACCGGAUAAUAUUUUGAACCGCAUGGUUCAAAAGUGAAAGACGGUCUUGCUGUCACUUAUAGAUGGAUCCGCGCUGCAUUAGCUAGUUGGUAAGGUUACGGCUUACCAAGGCAACGAUGCAUAGCCGACCUGAGAGGGUGACCGGCCACACUGGAACUGAGACACGGUCCAGACUCCUACGGGAGGCAGCAGUAGGGAAUCUUCCGCAAUGGGCGAAAGCCUGACGGAGCAACGCCGCGUGAGUGAUGAAGGUCUUCGGAUCGUAAAACUCUGUUAUUAGGGAAGAACAUAUGUGUAAGUAACUGUGCACAUCUUGACGGUACCUAAUCAGAAAGCCACGGCUAACUACGUG
This 497-nucleotide ribosomal RNA is filed under the name uncultured bacterium. Its description in RNAcentral is "partial 16S ribosomal RNA". It matches the Rfam family "Bacterial small subunit ribosomal RNA", at positions 28 to 507 of the family's 1533-position model. The record is from RNAcentral.